Molecule: ribosomal RNA, 252 nt
Filed under: uncultured Bacteroidales bacterium
Lineage: Bacteria; Pseudomonadati; Bacteroidota; Bacteroidia; Bacteroidales
Description: partial 16S ribosomal RNA
Rfam family: Bacterial small subunit ribosomal RNA
Source: RNAcentral
UACGGAGGAUGCGAGCGUUAUCCGGAUUUAUUGGGUUUAAAGGGUGCGUAGGCGGGAGAUCAAGUCAGCGGUAAAAAUGCGGGGCCCAACCCGGGCCGGCCGUUGAAACUGGGGAUCUUGAGUGGGCGAGAAGUAUGCGGAAUGCGUGGUGUAGCGGUGAAAUGCAUAGAUAUCACGCAGAACUCCGAUUGCGAAGGCAGCAUACCGGCGCCCGACUGACGCUGAGGCACGAAAGCGUGGGGAUCGAACAGG